CAUCAUAGGUGGAUAACUACUUUGUAUCAGUGUGUUGAUACCGCAUGAACAAGUUUAUGCCCGCAUGGGCCAUAAGACGUGUAAAGGCGCCUUUCCGUGUUUCGCUGGAUUGGAUGGAACCCGCGGUUCCAUUUAGCUAGUUAGGUGAUGUUAUCUGGCUCUACCAAGGCCUACGAUGCAUAGCCGACCUGUAGUAGGGUGAUCGGCCACACUGGGACUGAGACACGGCCCAGACUCCUACGGGAGGCAGCAUUAGGGAAUCUUCGUCAAUGGACGAAAGUCUGACCGAGCAACGCCGCGUGAUUGAAGAAGGUUUUCGGAUCGUAAAACUCUGUUGUUAGAGAAGAACAAGGACGUUAGUAACUGAACGUCCCCUGACGGUAUCUAACCAGAAAGCCACGGCUAACUACGUGCCAAGCAGCCGCGGUAAUACGUAGGUGGCAAGCGUUGUCCGGAUUUAUUGGGCGUAAAGCGAGCGCAGCGGUUUCUUAAGUCUGAUGUGAAAGCCCCCGGCUCAACCGGGGAGGGUCAUUGGAAACUGGGAGACUUGAGUGCAGAAGAGGAGAGUGGAAUUCCAUGUGUAGCGGUGAAAUGCGUAGAUAUAUGGAGGAACACCAGUGGCGAUAGGCGGCUCUCUGGUCUGUAACUGACGCUGAGGCUCGAAAGCGUGGGGAGCAAACAGGAUUAGAUACCCUGGUAGUCCACGCCGUGAUACGUAUGAGUGCUAAGUGUUGGAUGGGUUUCCGCCCUUCAGUGCUGCUAGCUAUACGCAUUAAGCACUCCGUACCUGGGGAG
This 795-nucleotide ribosomal RNA is filed under the name uncultured low G+C Gram-positive bacterium. RNAcentral describes it as "bacterial SSU rRNA". It matches the Rfam family "Bacterial small subunit ribosomal RNA", at positions 130 to 880 of the family's 1533-position model. Lineage: Bacteria; Bacillati; Bacillota. The record is from RNAcentral.